GCACUGCUGAGGAGUCCCAAGACAGGACGAAACGGCCGUCCAGUGC
Molecule: non-coding RNA, 46 nt
Organism: Schistosoma curassoni
Lineage: Eukaryota; Metazoa; Platyhelminthes; Trematoda; Strigeidida; Schistosomatidae
Source: Rfam